This 414-nucleotide ribosomal RNA is filed under the name uncultured microorganism. Its description in RNAcentral is "bacterial SSU rRNA". It matches the Rfam family "Archaeal small subunit ribosomal RNA", at positions 330 to 745 of the family's 1478-position model. The record is from RNAcentral.
GUGCAGCAGGCGCGAAACCUCCACAAUGCGCGCAAGCGCGAUGGGGCUACCUCGAGUGCCACCUGAUGAAGGUGGCUUUUCCACGGUGUAAGGAGCCGUGGGAAUAAGAGGGGGGCAAGACUGGUGUCAGCCGCCGCGGUAACACCAGCCCCUCGAGUGGUGGGGACGAUUAUUGGGCCUAAAGCGUCCGUAGCCGGCCUGGUAAGUCCCCCGUUAAAUCCAGCGUCUCAAGCGCUGGACCGCGGGGGAGACUGCCGGGCUAGGGGGUGGGAGAGGCCAGCGGUAUUCCUGGGGUAGGGGUAAAAUCCUCUGAUCCCAGGAGGACCACCAGUGGCGAAGGCUGCUGGCUAGAACACGCCCGACGGUGAGGGACGAAAGCUGGGGGAGCGAACCGGAUUAGAUACCCCCGGUAGU